UCAACAUGGUCCCCCCAGGGUCCGUCCAGGCGGCAUAGGGCAGCAGAGGGCUCUAUUCCAUCAUGCAAAGUCCCUUUCUACAACACUGGAGAAGAAUCUAGGCCUUGUGUCUGCGCCUGCCUAUUCUUACUGCUUCCCAGAGUCCUUUGGGCAGUGACUGAGGAGAUAAACCACACAGGAAGCAAUG
RNAcentral lists this small nucleolar RNA (187 nucleotides) under Octodon degus (degu). RNAcentral describes it as "Small nucleolar RNA SNORA73 family (ENSODEG00000022763.1)". It matches the Rfam family "Small nucleolar RNA SNORA73 family". Rfam says of the family: U17 (SNORA73A and SNORA73B) also known as E1 belongs to the H/ACA class of small nucleolar RNAs (snoRNAs). Vertebrate U17 is intron-encoded and ranges in length from 200-230 nucleotides, longer than most snoRNAs. It is one of the most abundant snoRNAs in human cells and is essential for the cleavage of pre-rRNA within the 5' external transcribed spacer (ETS). The record is from Rfam by way of RNAcentral. Lineage: Eukaryota; Metazoa; Chordata; Mammalia; Rodentia; Octodontidae.